RNAcentral lists this ribosomal RNA (87 nucleotides) under Bacillota bacterium. Lineage: Bacteria; Bacillati; Bacillota. The record is from RNAcentral.
CGUUCCCAUCCCGAACACGGAAGUUAAGCUCGCUUCUGCCCACGAUACUUGGCUGGAGACGGCCCGGAAAAAUAGGUAGCGCCAACA